RNAcentral lists this ribosomal RNA (253 nucleotides) under uncultured bacterium. Its description in RNAcentral is "partial 16S ribosomal RNA". It matches the Rfam family "Bacterial small subunit ribosomal RNA", at positions 524 to 776 of the family's 1533-position model. The record is from RNAcentral.
UACGGAGGGGGCUAGCGUUGUUCGGAAUUACUGGGCGUAAAGAGCUCGUAGGCGGUUUGUCGCGUCUGCUGUGAAAACCGGAGGCUCAACCUCCGGCCUGCAGUGGGUACGGGCAGACUAGAGUGCGGUAGGGGAGAUUGGAAUUCCUGGUGUAGCGGUGGAAUGCGCAGAUAUCAGGAGGAACACCGAUGGCGAAGGCAGAUCUCUGGGCCGUAACUGACGCUGAGGAGCGAAAGCAUGGGGAGCGAACAGG